RNAcentral lists this ribosomal RNA (807 nucleotides) under uncultured Pelagibacteraceae bacterium. Its description in RNAcentral is "bacterial SSU rRNA". It matches the Rfam family "Bacterial small subunit ribosomal RNA", at positions 33 to 888 of the family's 1533-position model. Lineage: Bacteria; Pseudomonadati; Pseudomonadota; Alphaproteobacteria; Candidatus Pelagibacterales; Candidatus Pelagibacteraceae. The record is from RNAcentral.
ACGCUGGCGGCACGCCUAACACAUGCAAGUCGAACGAAGUAGCAAUACUUAGUGGCAGACGGGUGAGUAACAUGUAGGUAUCUGCCCUUUGGCCUGGAAUAACACGAGGAAACUUGUGCUAAUACCGGAUAAGUCUUUACGGAGAAAGCUUUAUGCACCAUUGGAUGAGCCUGCACUUGAUUAGUUUGUUGGUGGGGUAAUGGCCUACCAAGACUGUGAUCAAUAGCUGAUUUGAGAGGAUGAUCAGCCACAUUGGGACUGAGACACGGCCCAAACUCCUACGGGAGGCAGCAGUGGGGAAUCUUGCACAAUGGAGGAAACUCUGAUGCAGCGAUGCCGCGUGAGUGAAGAAGGCCUUUGGGUUGUAAAGCUCUUUCGUCGGGGAAGAAAAUGACUGUACCCGAAUAAGAAGGUCCGGCUAACUUCGUGCCAGCAGCCGCGGUAAUACGAAGGGACCUAGCGUAGUUCGGAAUUACUGGGCUUAAAGAGUUCGUAGGUGGUUGAAAAAGUUAGUGGUGAAAUCCCAGAGCUUAACUCUGGAACUGCCAUUAAAACUUUUCAGCUAGAGUAUGAUAGAGGAAAGCAGAAUUUCUAGUGUAGAGGUGAAAUUCGUAGAUAUUAGAAAGAAUACCAAUUGCGAAGGCAGCUUUCUGGAUCAUUACUGACACUGAGGAACGAAAGCAUGGGUAGCGAAGAGGAUUAGAUACCCUCGUAGUCCAUGCCGUAAACGAUGUGUGUUAGACGUUGGAAAUUUAUUUUCAGUGUCGCAGGGAAACCGAUAAACACACCGCCUGGGGAGUACGACCG